RNAcentral lists this long non-coding RNA (1108 nucleotides) under Amborella trichopoda. RNAcentral's name for it is "long non-coding RNA (ATRI_LNC000520)". The record is from RNAcentral. Lineage: Eukaryota; Viridiplantae; Streptophyta; Magnoliopsida; Amborellales; Amborellaceae.
UGAAAGCAGGACGAAACAAAAAAACAAGAGCAAGGGAAAAGGGUUGUUAGUUUGUGGGUUCUAGUGAGAGAAAAUGCAGCGAGCGAAUGGUGGAAUGGGAAAGGAUGGUUGGACGGCACAAAAGAGAGUGGAAGAGCGAGAACAAGCGAAGAGAGAGAAGGGAAGAGUAAGAACAGGCAGGAAAGGGGAGAGGAGAUUAGUAUGACCGAGGCGGAGGUUGCAGCCAAGGAAAUGGAUGAGGAAGGCGGAAGUUGCAGGUUAGAGGAAAGGGCUAAGAUUGGUGGCAGCAGGGUUUCGAGAGAGACAAUGAUAGCAGAUGGUUGGAGAGAGAGAUGAUGAUGGCAGCUGGUUGGAGUAGAGAAGAAGAUGGAGGAUGGUUUUGCAGCAGAGGUAAAGGAAGAGCGAGUGAGGAGCAGUGAGGUUAGAAAGUGAGCAAGGUGUCUCAAUGAGAUUGAGGGCUUGGCAAAGGUGGCUCGAUAGAGAGGAGGGAUGGUCGCAAGGUAGUGAGAGACAUGGGUGGUGUAGCUGGCUUUCGAGACAGAGAGGACGAGAGAGAACCAGUGGUGGCCUGAGAGCAAGUGGAGAGUGCGGCAGUUGGGGCUACUGCCUAGUUCUAAUGCGGAGGAGAAGAAGAAAGGGGGACGAGUGAAGGUGAGAGGUGGCUACAACGGUUAAGAGAGGUCGAGGUGGGUGCAGCCAAGGUGGAAAGAUAGGCAGAGGUUGCUGGCCGGGAGGAAGGGCUGAGGCGCACGACAAUGGGUGACUUUCACACACGAUAAUGAGGUGGUGGCUGCCGGUGACAGACCUCAGUUGCGCACGACGAUGGGGGAGGUUCACGCAUGGCGAUGGGUGAAGGACGGGUUGCACACGACGAUAGAUGGUGGCUUGCAUACACGACGAUAAGUGAUGUCUGGCGCACACAGCGAUAGGUAAGAUGGGUACGCACGUCCGUAGGGUAGGAUAGAUCGCACAUGGCAAUAGGGUAGGAUAGGUUGCACAUGGCAAUAGGUAAGAAUAGGUCGCACACGACUAUAGGUAAGAAUAGGUCGCAAACGGCGAUUGGAAAGAAGUUGGGCAAAGGUGGUCUCGCGGGACCACAGGACGUGAG